This 604-nucleotide ribosomal RNA is filed under the name Rhodotorula kratochvilovae. RNAcentral describes it as "eukaryotic LSU rRNA". It matches the Rfam family "Eukaryotic large subunit ribosomal RNA", at positions 47 to 663 of the family's 3401-position model. The record is from RNAcentral. Lineage: Eukaryota; Fungi; Basidiomycota; Microbotryomycetes; Sporidiobolales; Sporidiobolaceae.
UAAGCGGAGGAAAAGAAACUAACAAGGAUUCCCCUAGUAGCGGCGAGCGAAGCGGGAAGAGCUCAAAUUUAUAAUCUGGCACCUUCGGUGUCCGAGUUGUAAUCUCUAGAAGUGUUUUCCGCGUUGGACCGCACACAAGUCUGUUGGAAUACAGCGGCACAGUGGUGAUACCCCCGUACACGGUGCGGACGCCCAGCGCUUUGUGAUACACUUUCAAUGAGUCGAGUUGUUUGGGAAUGCAGCUCAAAUUGGGUGGUAAAUUCCAUCUAAAGCUAAAUAUUGGCGAGAGACCGAUAGCGAACAAGUACCGUGAGGGAAAGAUGAAAAGCACUUUGGAAAGAGAGUUAACAGUACGUGAAAUUGUUGGAAGGGAAACGCUUGAAGUCAGACUUGCUUGCCGGAGCUUGCUUCGGUUUGCAGGCCAGCAUCAGUUUUCCGGGGUGGAUAAUGGUGGUUUGAAGGUAGCAGCCUCGGCUGUGUUAUAGCUUUCCACUGGAUACAUCCUGGGGGACUGAGGAACGCAGCGUGCUUUUUGCGAAGGUUUCGACCUUUUCACGCUUAGGAUGCUGGUGUAAUGACUUUAAACGACCCGUCUUGAAACACG